This 491-nucleotide ribosomal RNA is filed under the name uncultured bacterium. RNAcentral describes it as "bacterial SSU rRNA". It matches the Rfam family "Bacterial small subunit ribosomal RNA", at positions 28 to 516 of the family's 1533-position model. The record is from RNAcentral.
GACGAACGCUGGCGGCGUGCUUAACACAUGCAAGUCGAGCGGUAAGGCCUCAAGCUUGCUUGGGGUACACGAGCGGCGAACGGGUGAGUAACACGUGAGUAAUCUGCCCUUCACUCUGGGAUAAGCUUCGGAAACGGGGUCUAAUACCGGAUACGACCACUUCCUGCAUGGGAUGGUGGUGGAAACUUUUGUGGGUGGGGGAUGUGCUCGCGGCCUAUCAGCUUGUUGGUGGGGUAAUGGCCUACCAAGGCUUCGACGGGUAGCCGGCCUGAGAGGGUGACCGGUCACACUGGGACUGAGACACGGCCCAGACUCCUACGGGAGGCAGCAGUGGGGAAUAUUGGACAAUGGGCGGAAGCCUGAUCCAGCAACGCCGCGUGAGGGAUGACGGCCUUCGGGUUGUAAACCUCUUUCACCAUUGACGAAGUCGCACAGUGUGUGUGGUGACGGUAGGUGGGGAAGAAGCACCGGCCAACUACGUGCCAGCAGCC